This 443-nucleotide ribosomal RNA is filed under the name uncultured bacterium. Its description in RNAcentral is "partial 16S ribosomal RNA". It matches the Rfam family "Bacterial small subunit ribosomal RNA", at positions 338 to 795 of the family's 1533-position model. The record is from RNAcentral.
CCUACGGGAGGCAGCAGUGGGGGAUAUUGGACAAUGGGGGAAACCCUGAUCCAGCGACGCCGCGUGAGUGAAGAAGUAUUUCGGUAUGUAAAGCUCUGUCAGCAGGGAAGAAAGAAAUGACGGUACCUGACCAAGAAGCCCCGGCUAACUACGUGCCAGCAGCCGCGGUAAUACGUAGGGGGCAAGCGUUAUCCGGAUUUACUGGGUGUAAAGGGAGCGUAGGUGGCAAGGCAAGUCAGAUGUGAAAACCCGGGGCCCAACCCCGGGAGUGCAUUUGAAACUGUCUGGCUAGAGUGCAGGAGAGGUAAGUGGAAUUCCUAGUGUAGCGGUGAAAUGCAUAGAUAUUAGGAGGAACACCAGUGGCGAAGGCGGCUUACUGGACUGUAACUGACACUGAGGCUCGAAAGCGUGGGGAGCAAACAGGAUUAGAUACCCCAGUAGUC